UACGUAGAGUGCAAGCGUUGUCCGGAAUUAUUGGGCGUAAAGGGUACGCAGGCGGAUAGUAAAGUCAAGCGUGAAAGGUGUCGGCUUAACCGACAGACUGCGUUUGAAACUGAUUAUCUUGAGUGUAACAGAGGAGAGUGGAAUUCCUAGUGUAGUGGUGAAAUACGUAGAUAUUAGGAAGAACACCAGUGGCGAAGGCGACUCUCUGGGUUAACACUGACGCUGAGGUACGAAAGCUGGGGGAGGCAAACGGGAAGUUAGAUACCCCCGUACC
This 274-nucleotide ribosomal RNA is filed under the name uncultured bacterium. RNAcentral describes it as "partial 16S ribosomal RNA". It matches the Rfam family "Bacterial small subunit ribosomal RNA", at positions 524 to 794 of the family's 1533-position model. The record is from RNAcentral.